RNAcentral lists this ribosomal RNA (406 nucleotides) under uncultured bacterium. RNAcentral describes it as "bacterial SSU rRNA". It matches the Rfam family "Bacterial small subunit ribosomal RNA", at positions 32 to 417 of the family's 1533-position model. The record is from RNAcentral.
AAUCAACGCUGGCGGCGUGCCUCAGACAUGCAAGUCGAACGCGAAAUCCCGAGCAAUCGGGAAAGUAGAGUGGCGCACGGGUGAGUAACACGUAGGUAAUCUACCUUCGGAUGGGGAAUAACAAUCGGAAACGGUUGCUAAUACCGCAUAAUGCAGCGGCACCUAAUGGUGACAGUUGCUAAAGCGGGGGAUCGCAAGACCUCGCGUCUGAAGAGGAGCCNGCGGCGGAUUAGCUUGUUGGUAAGGUAACGGCUUACCAAGGCGACGAUCCGUAGCCGGCCUGAGAGGGCGGUCGGCCACACUGACACUGACAUACGGGUCAGACUCCUACGGGAGGCAGCAGUCGGGAAUUUUGGGCAAUGGGCGCAAGCCUGACCCAGCAACGCCGCGUGAAGGAUGAAAUCCC